RNAcentral lists this small RNA (79 nucleotides) under Arabidopsis thaliana (thale cress). RNAcentral describes it as "ATSL025050". Lineage: Eukaryota; Viridiplantae; Streptophyta; Magnoliopsida; Brassicales; Brassicaceae. The record is from RNAcentral.
UCCACGCUUUGUGUAACCAGCUUCAUGGAGAUAUUGUGGUAUUUGUGUCGUUUUUCCUGAACCAGUGUCUCCCACAAUG